Molecule: long non-coding RNA, 801 nt
Organism: Antechinus flavipes (yellow-footed antechinus)
Lineage: Eukaryota; Metazoa; Chordata; Mammalia; Dasyuromorphia; Dasyuridae
Exons: 3
Source: RefSeq, a predicted model, not a curated record
CAAGACUGGGGGAGGGGAUGAAAGCCACGGGCAGCUCCGGAACCCUGACAGCCGCCGGGGCCGCUUUCGCUCUCCUGGGUCACAGCUCCUGCCAGGGUAGGGUGGGCAGAUGUGAAUGAAAUCUGCUGGUGUUCUCAUUCUCCAGCACUGAGGCUUCAUUUUUGCCAUCUCCUGUCAGCCGCCCAGUCUUCCCCCCCUUGAAGAAGAGGUUCAUCAAUGUCUUGGAGCGCUGCAGGGCACCCUUCUCUGGAGAUCAGGGUUUCCAAAACUGGAACACACCCUCCUCCUCUCGCCUCCUGCUUCCCUCAGGCCUUAAGAGUUCCAAUUUCUGCAAGAAGCCUCUCCCAGUACUCCUUCACCUGGAUGCCUUCCCUGGGAGAUUAUCUUCAAACUAUCCUAUCUAUGUUUUGUUUGUAUAUAGUUGUCUUUUCCCAGUAGUGUGUGAACUCCUGGCGGGUAGGCACUGUUAGCAGUGUCCAUGGGUCCAAAAAUUAAGAACCCCCAUUGUAAAUCAUUGUAGCUAGUACUAAGACCCUGUUCUUCCUUGAAUCCAAGCUUUCUUAAGAGGCAGGAUUUUGAGAACUGGCAGAUUUGGAGGCUGAGUUUAAAGUGUCAAAGAAGAGUCAAAAAACCCCUGGAACCCAGACAAGUGACUGGGAGGUAGAAGCUUUUGGAGGGAAAGGAGGCUUUUGGAUUAAGCUUGGGACAUCCAGGCUCUAGUCAUUCAUGAAGUGAUCCCUCCACCCCCUCCCCAGACACACAUGGAGUCUCUUGGAGUCUGACCCAUGCUGCCUUCAGAGC